Molecule: ribosomal RNA, 497 nt
Filed under: uncultured bacterium
Lineage: Bacteria
Description: partial 16S ribosomal RNA
Rfam family: Bacterial small subunit ribosomal RNA
Source: RNAcentral
GAUGAACGCUGGCGGCGUGCCUAAUACUUGCAAGUCGAGCGAACGGACGAGAAGCUUGCUUCUCUGAUGUUAGCGGCGGACGGGUGAGUAACACGUGGAUAACCUACCUAUAAGACUGGGAUAACUUCGGGAAACCGGAGCUAAUACCGGAUAAUAUUUUGAACCGCAUGGUUCAAAAGUGAAAGACGGUCUUGCUGUCACUUAUAGAUGGAUCCGCGCUGCAUUAGCUAGUUGGUAAGGUAACGGCUUACCAAGGCAACGAUGCAUAGCCGACCUGAGAGGGUGAUCGGCCACACUGGAACUGAGACACGGUCCAGACUCCUACGGGAGGCAGCAGUAGGGAAUCUUCCGCAAUGGGCGAAAGCCUGACGGAUCAACGCCGCGUGAGUGAUGAAGGUCUUCGGAUCGUAAAACUCUGUUAUUAGGGAAGAACAUAUGUGUAAGUAACUGUGCACAUCUUGACGGUACCUAAUCAGAAAGCCACGGCUAACUACGUG